GACGAACGCUGGCGGCGUGCUUAACACAUGCAAGUCGAACGGAAAGGCCCUGCUUUUGUGGGGUGCUCGAGUGGCGAAAGGGUGAGUAACACGUGAGUAACCUGCCCUUGACUUUGGGAUAACUUCAGGAAACUGGGGCUAAUACCGGAUAGGAGCUCCUGCUGCAUGGUGGGGGUUGGAAAGUUUCGGCGGUUGGGGAUGGACUCGCGGCUUAUCAGCUUGUUGGUGGGGUAGUGGCUUACCAAGGCUUUGACGGGUAGCCGGCCUGAGAGGGUGACCGGCCACAUGGGGACUGAGAUACGGCCCAGACGCCGACGGGAGGCAGCAGUGGGGAAUAUUGCACAAUGGGCGGAAGCCUGAUGCAGCAACGCCGCGUGCGGGAUGACGGCCUUCGGGUUGUAAGCCGCUUUCGCCUGUGACGAAGCGUGAGUGACGGUAAUGGGUAAAGAAGCACCGGCUAACUACGUG
This 468-nucleotide ribosomal RNA is filed under the name uncultured bacterium. RNAcentral's name for it is "partial 16S ribosomal RNA". It matches the Rfam family "Bacterial small subunit ribosomal RNA", at positions 28 to 507 of the family's 1533-position model. The record is from RNAcentral.